GUUAUCAAAAACAUGUCUGUAUGAUUAUAUAUAAAGUCUAGCCUGCCCACUGAUUUUUAAAGGGCCGCGGUAAUUUGACCGUGCGAAGGUAGCAUAAUCAUUAGUCUUUUAAUUGAAGGCUGGAAUGAAUGGUUGGAUGAGGGAUAUACUGUCUUUAAUUUAAAAAAUAAAUUUAACUUUUAAGUGAAAAGGCUUAAAUAUUUUAGUGGGACGAUAAGACCCUAUAAAACUUUAUUUGGUGUGGGGUUAGCGAUGACUUUGUUUUAAAAUUGCUAUUUUUGCGUUAAAUUUUGUUGGGGAGACAUUAAUAUAAUAGGUAACUGUUGUUGAAAUUAAAUAAUUAUAAUUAGGUUUUGAUCCUUUAUUAGAGAUUAAAAGAUUAAGUUACUUUAGGGAUAACAGCGUAAUUUCCUUUGAGAGUUCUUAUCGACAAGGUUAGUUGCGACCUCGAUGUUGAAUUAAAAUUUCUGGGGGGUGUAGUCUUUCUCCUAGUAGGUCUGUUCGACCUUUAAAAUUUUACAUGAUUUGAGUUCAAACCGGUGUGAGCCAGGUUGGUUUCUAUCUAA
This 566-nucleotide ribosomal RNA is filed under the name Hymenocera picta. RNAcentral describes it as "partial 16S ribosomal RNA". It matches the Rfam family "Bacterial large subunit ribosomal RNA", at positions 1802 to 2645 of the family's 2925-position model. The record is from RNAcentral. Lineage: Eukaryota; Metazoa; Arthropoda; Malacostraca; Decapoda; Palaemonidae.